RNAcentral lists this ribosomal RNA (484 nucleotides) under uncultured bacterium. RNAcentral's name for it is "partial 16S ribosomal RNA". It matches the Rfam family "Bacterial small subunit ribosomal RNA", at positions 30 to 507 of the family's 1533-position model. The record is from RNAcentral.
AUUGAACGCUGGCGGCAGGCCUAACACAUGCAAGUCGAGCGGAUGAAGGGAGCUUGCUCCUGGAUUCAGCGGCGGACGGGUGAGUAAUGCCUAGGAAUCUGCCUGGUAGUGGGGGAUAACGUCCGGAAACGGGCGCCAAUACCGCAUACGUCCUGAGGGAGAAAGUGGGGGAUCUUCGGACCUCACGCUAUCAGAUGAGCCUAGGUCGGAUUAGCUAGUUGGUGGGGUAAAGGCCUACCAAGGCGACGAUCCGUAACUGGUCUGAGAGGAUGAUCAGUCACACUGGAACUGAGACACGGUCCAGACUCCUACGGGAGGCAGCAGUGGGGAAUAUUGGACAAUGGGCGAAAGCCUGAUCCAGCCAUGCCGCGUGUGUGAAGAAGGUCUUCGGAUUGUAAAGCACUUUAAGUUGGGAGGAAGGGCAGUAAGUUAAUACCUUGCUGUUUUGACGUUACCAACAAAAUAAGCACCGGCUAACUUCGUG